GCACCGCUAGUUCAACUGGAUAGAAUGUCGGAUUUCGAAUCCGAAGGUUGAAGGUUCGAGUCCUUCGUGGUGCA
This 74-nucleotide transfer RNA is filed under the name Candidatus Pelagibacter sp. RNAcentral describes it as "tRNA-Arg". It matches the Rfam family "tRNA". From Rfam's summary of the family: Transfer RNA (tRNA) molecules are approximately 80 nucleotides in length. Lineage: Bacteria; Pseudomonadati; Pseudomonadota; Alphaproteobacteria; Candidatus Pelagibacterales; Candidatus Pelagibacteraceae. The record is from RNAcentral.